GCAGUCGAGCGGCGCACAAGGGAGUUUACUCCUGAGGUGGCGAGCGGCGGAUGGGUGAGUAAUGCCUAGGGAUCUGCCCAGUCGAGGGGGAUAACAGUUGGAAACGACUGCUAAUACCGCAUACGCCCUACGGGGGAAAGGAGGGGACCUUCGGGCCUUCCGCGAUUGGAUGAACCUAGGUGGGAUUAGCUAGUUGGUGAGGUAAUGGCUCACCAAGGCGACGAUCCCUAGCUGUUCUGAGAGGAUGAUCAGCCACACUGGGACUGAGACACGGCCCAGACUCCUGCGGGAGGCAGCAGUGGGGAAUAUUGCACAAUGGGGGAAACCCUGAUGCGGCCAUGCCGCGUGUGUGAAGGAGGCCUUCGGGUUGUAAAGCACUUUCAGUAGGGAGGAAAGGGUGAGUCUUAAUACGGCUUAUCUGUGACGUUACCUACAGAAGAAGGACCGGCUAACUCCGUGCCAGCAGCCGCGGUAAUACGGAGGGUCCGAGCGUUAAUCGGAAUUACUGGGCGUAAAGCGUGCGCAGGCGGUUUGUUAAGCGAGAUGUGAAAGCCCUGGGCUCAACCUAGGAAUAGCAUUUCGAACUGACAAACUAGAGUCUUGUAGAGGGGGGUAGAAUUCCAGGUGUAGCGGUGAAAUGCGUAGAGAUCUGGAGGAAUACCGGUGGCGAAGGCGGCCCCCUGGACAAAGACUGACGCUCAUGCA
This 705-nucleotide ribosomal RNA is filed under the name uncultured bacterium. RNAcentral's name for it is "bacterial SSU rRNA". It matches the Rfam family "Bacterial small subunit ribosomal RNA", at positions 57 to 753 of the family's 1533-position model. The record is from RNAcentral.